CAGUGAAUCUGUUUAUGAACUCAAGGUUUGCUGCAUUCCUUUGAGCCUGCAGACAAAAUGCUAUUCAAGAUUUGGAUGACAGCAUCUCCAAAAACCCAACUAGCAGGAAAGUGGACUGGACCUUGGGACAUAUUCCUCACCACCCCCACCAUGGUGAAACUGAUGGAAAUAAAACUUUGGACUCAUCACACCAGGAUAAAGAAAGCACCAGAGGAACAAUGGAUCGCCGAGCCUCAAGAAAACCUGAAAGUCAUCUUUCGGAAACAGUGACUUAUGUUCUCUUCAUUACCUCCUGUUUGACCCCUUGUUACAG
Molecule: long non-coding RNA, 313 nt
Organism: Phyllostomus discolor (pale spear-nosed bat)
Lineage: Eukaryota; Metazoa; Chordata; Mammalia; Chiroptera; Phyllostomidae
Exons: 4
Source: RefSeq, a predicted model, not a curated record